RNAcentral lists this ribosomal RNA (393 nucleotides) under uncultured bacterium. Its description in RNAcentral is "partial 16S ribosomal RNA". It matches the Rfam family "Bacterial small subunit ribosomal RNA", at positions 523 to 918 of the family's 1533-position model. The record is from RNAcentral.
AUACGGAGGAUGCGAGCGUUAUCCGGAUUUAUUGGGUUUAAAGGGUGCGUAGGCUGUGCGUUAAGUCAGGGGUGAAAUGCCGUCGCUCAACGACGGAGCUGCCCUUGAUACUGGCGUGCGGGAGUACGGAUGCCGUUGGAGAAAUGAGUGGUGUAGCGGUGAAAUGCUUAGAUAUCACUCAGAACACCGAUUGCGAAGGCAUCUGACGAAUCCGUCACUGACGCUGAGGCACGAAAGCGUGGGGAUAGAACAGGAUUAGAUACCCUGGUAUUCCACGCCGUAAACGAUGAUGACUAACCGUCGGCGAUAGACAGCCGGUGGCCAAGCGAAAGCGAUAAGUCAUCCACCUGGGGAGUACGUCGGCAACGAUGAAACUCAAAUGAAUUGGCGGGG